UUCCGGUUGAUCCUGCCGGAGGUCACUGCUAUUGGGAUUCGACUAAGCCAUGCGAGUCGAGAGGGUUCGGCCCUCGGCUGACGGCUCAGUAACACGUGGAUAAUCUGCCCUUAGGUGGAGGAUAAUCUCGGGAAACUGAGGAUAAUACUCCAUAGAUCUAGGAUGCUGGAAUGCAUUUAGAUUGAAAGCUCCGGCGCCUAAGGAUGAGUCUGCGGACUAUCAGGUUGUAGUCAGGAUAAAGACCUGACUAGCCUAUGACGGAUACGGGUUGUGAGAGCAAUAACCCGGAGACGAUAUCUGAGACACGAUAUCGGGCCCUACGGGGCGCAGCAGGCGCGAAAACUUCACACUGUGCGAAAGCGCGAUGAGGGAAUCCCAAGUGCUUACUCGUAAGAGUAAGCUGUUUCUUUGUCUAAAAAGCAGAGAGAGUAAGGGCUGGGUAAGACGGGUGCCAGCCGCCGCGGUAAUACCUGCAGCUCAAGUGGUGAUCAUUAUUAUUGGGCCUAAAACGUCCGUAGCCGGUUUAGUAAAUGCCUGGGUAAAUCGUGUAGCUUAACUAUACGAAUUCCGGGUAGACUGCUAAACUUGAGACCGGGUGAGGCUAGAGGUACUCCUGGGGUAGAGGUGAAAUUCUGUAAUCCUAGGGGGACCACCAGUGGCGAAGGCGUCUAGCUAGAACGGGUCUGACGGUGAGGGACGAAGCCCUGGGGCGCAAACCGGAUUAGAUACCCGGGUAGUCCAGGGUGUAAACGCUGCUUGCUUGAUGUUAGUUGGGCUCCGAGCCCAACUAGUGUCGGAGAGAAGUUGUUAAGCAAGCUGCCUGGGAAGUACGGUCGCAAGGCUGAAACUUAAAGGAAUUGACGGGGGAGCACAGCAACGGGUGGAGCGUGCGGUUUAAUUG
RNAcentral lists this ribosomal RNA (901 nucleotides) under uncultured archaeon. RNAcentral's name for it is "bacterial SSU rRNA". It matches the Rfam family "Archaeal small subunit ribosomal RNA", at positions 1 to 908 of the family's 1478-position model. The record is from RNAcentral.